AUUGAGGACUACAUAAAAGUCAUCAGAGUAUUUUUUUUCUGGAUAAAAGGUACCAUAUAUCUGGUGCCCUAACUAUGUGUACACAAAAUUUCAUGAUGGGUUUUACAUUUGGUUUGUCCGUUCGAGGCAUUGAAGUCUGCUCUUUUUUAUGUUGCAAGCGGAUUUUAAAUCUGACUUCAAAAAUGAGAACUGCAGUGCACAAUGUGCCGUGUGUUUUUCAAAAUCUACAAAAAUUGUAUCUUUUGCUGGCAUUUUCGACUCUCGUAUAAAAAUGUAAUUUUGAAAAGCCUAUAGGGCGCUCGAGGCAUUGAUGUCUGCUCCUUUUAAUGAUGCAUGCGGAUUUUACAUUUGACUUCAAAAAUGCGAACUGCAGUGUCACAAUGUGCUGCGUGUUUUUCAAAUUCUAUAAAAAUUGUAUCUUUUGCGAGCAUUUUCGACUCGUAUAGAAUUGUAAUUUUGAAAAGCCUAUAGGGCGUUCGAGGUAUUGAUGUCUGCUCAUUUUCAAUAAUGCAAGCGGAUUUUACAUUUGACUUCAAAAAUGCGAACUGCAGUGUCACAAUGUGCUGCGUGUUUUUCAAAUUCUAUAAAAAUUGUAUCUUUUGCGGGCAUUUUCGACUCGUAUAGAAAUGUAAUUUUGAAAACCCUAUAGGGCGUUCGAGGCAUUAAUGUCUGCUCUUUUUUAUGAUGCAAGCGGAUUUUAGAUCUAACCUCAAAAAUGCGAAUUGCAGUGUCACAAUGUGCUGCAUGUUUUUCAAAAUCUACAAAAAUUGUAUCUUUUGCGGGCAUUUUCGACUCGUAUAGAAAUGUAAUUUUGAAAAGCCUAUAGGGCGUUCGAGAGAUUGAUGUCUGCUCUUUUUAAUUAUUCAAGCGGAUUUUACAUUUGACUUCAAAAAUACGAACUGCAGUGUUUCUGUGUGUUUUUCGAAAUCGUCGAUAAUUGUAACUUGCGAACGUCUUUGACUCUUAUAAAGUGUAAUUUUGGUAAGCCUAUAGGUCGUUCAAUGCAUUUUUGUAGUCAAAUGUAAAAUCCGCUUGUACAACGAGAAAGGACAGACUUCAAUGCAUCGAACGCCCCGUCGGUCUUCAAAAUUAAAUUUACGAGUCAAAAAUGUCGGAGAGAGAAAGCGAUUAUAAUUGUAACUUUGGCGGUCAUUUUUGUUUGGUUUAAAAAAUAUGACGUUGGAGGUAUUGAUGUCUGCUUUUUCUUACGUUUCAAACGUAGUUUACAUUUUGCUAUACAAAUUGCGGCGUGGCAAACUACUGUGUGUUUUCGAAAACUAUUAAAAAUUGUAGUUUCCGUAGACAUUUUUGAUUUGUUUAAAAAUGUAAUUUUGAAGUACCGAUCGGCCUAUCGAUGCAUUGAUCUGAUUAAGAAACUAGGUUUAUUCCGGUAGUGUGUAUAAAUAAUCUUUUUUAAUUGUGUAGCUAAUUUAUUAUUUCAAAUAUUUGGCGCCAGUCUAGAAUGUUGCCCGAACAUAUCAGUACAGCGCUCCCUUGCAUUAACCUCGGUAACAUUCAGACUGUCACGUGAUCACGUCGCCAGUCCAACUUUGGGUUUAUUAAAUUACAAUAAUGUCUCAUUUUAAGUAAUAUUGUGAUAAAUAGUCACAGUGGAUUCAUUUAAAUUGUGUCAUAGCAUUUUUUUAAACCGGCAUAUGCAACAACGAACCACUACUUGUCAAUACAUAUUAAGCAUAAAAUGGAUGACCCCUUGAUGACCCCUGGAUGAUUACCCUUUGUAGAUCUAUUAUCUAUGAUGGAUGACUAUCUUGGACGAGAUUAAGAAUUACGUAAUCUCAUCGAUGACGUACUUCCUUCUUGUUCACCAGUUUGCUGCUGCUUCUCGUCUCGUUUUGUAGUUUCGCAUUGUGCUAUUUUAUGGGUAUUUUUUAUACGAAGAAUUUGGGAAAGAUUCACGUAGGAAUAGAUUUUUGUCUUGCCUAUGUUAAAUAAGUUGUCCUGUGGCAGUAACCUAGGGAGACAUUUCAUAUUCUUUCUAAAUCUUAAUGGAACUUGUUGUCAAGAGAAUGAAUGCGUACUGAUAGUUACAAUAUACCAACUGGAAUAUUUGUUGUUUUGGUACAGGCUUUACAAUAAUACCGAAGGGCAUAAAAAUGGUCUAUGCCAAGAUCUUAUAUUAUUAAUGGUGUGAAAAGUUUUCCUUUACCUAUAAUACCUUCCACACUAGUGGGAAACCUGUGAGACUUACUUUGGUAUCAAGAAGUUUUGCAAAUGACUUCCUCUCCUGGAAAGUGAAGUGGUUUGCUGAAGAAUGAGCUUGUGGCAUGUAAUUGGCUUCUGUUUGGACACGUUAGGAGUUAUAAGACUAAGAGGUAAGAAAGAUAUC
This is a long non-coding RNA of Agrilus planipennis (emerald ash borer), 2347 nucleotides long. RefSeq lists it as uncharacterized. The transcript has 4 exons. The record is from RefSeq and is a predicted model, not a curated record. Lineage: Eukaryota; Metazoa; Arthropoda; Insecta; Coleoptera; Buprestidae.